Molecule: ribosomal RNA, 253 nt
Filed under: uncultured bacterium
Lineage: Bacteria
Description: partial 16S ribosomal RNA
Rfam family: Bacterial small subunit ribosomal RNA
Source: RNAcentral
UACGUAGGGACCGAGCGUUGUCCGGAAUCAUUGGGCGUAAAGAGCGUGUAGGCGGCCACUUAAGUCCUGCGUGAAAUCUUGCGGCUCAACCGCAAGCGGUCGUGGGAAACUGGGUGGCUAGAGUGCGGGAGAGGAGAGUGGAAUUCCUGGUGUAGCGGUGGAAUGCGCAGAUAUCAGGAAGAACACCCGUGGCGAAGGCGGCUCUCUGGACCGUAACUGACGCUGAGGCGCGAAAGCGUGGGGAGCAAACAGG